This 45-nucleotide non-coding RNA is filed under the name Schistosoma mansoni. Lineage: Eukaryota; Metazoa; Platyhelminthes; Trematoda; Strigeidida; Schistosomatidae. The record is from RNAcentral.
AGCAGCUGACGAGUCCAAAACUAGGACAAAACGAGCGUCCUGGAU